AUUGAACGCUAGCGGCAGGCCUAACACAUGCAAGUCGAACGGUAGCACAGAGGAGCUUGCUCCUUGGGUGACGAGUGGCGGACGGGUGAGUAAUGUCUGGGAAACUGCCCGAUGGAGGGGGAUAACUACUGGAAACGGUAGCUAAUACCGCAUAACGUCUUCGGACCAAAGUGGGGGACCUUCGGGCCUCACACCAUCGGAUGUGCCCAGAUGGGAUUAGCUAGUAGGUGGGGUAAUGGCUCACCUAGGCGACGAUCCCUAGCUGGUCUGAGAGGAUGACCAGCCACACUGGAACUGAGACACGGUCCAGACUCCUAUGGGAGGCAGCAGUGGGGAAUAUUGCACGAUGGGCGCAAGCCUGAUGCAGCCAUGCCGCGUGUAUGAAGAAGGCCUUCGGGUUGUAAAGUACUUUCAGCGGGGAGGAAGGCGUUAAGGUUAAUAACCUUGGCGAUUGACGUUACCCGCAGAAGAAGCACCGGCUAACUCCGUGCCAGCCGCCGCCGUAA
This 506-nucleotide ribosomal RNA is filed under the name uncultured bacterium. Its description in RNAcentral is "partial 16S ribosomal RNA". It matches the Rfam family "Bacterial small subunit ribosomal RNA", at positions 30 to 523 of the family's 1533-position model. The record is from RNAcentral.